AGAGUUUGAUUAUGGCUCAGGAUGAACGCUGGCGGCGUGCCUAAUACAUGCAAGUCGAACGCACUAGCAAUAGUGAGUGGCGAACGGGUGAGUAACACGUAGGUAACUUACCCCUAAGACGAGGAUAACGACUGGAAACGGUCGCUAAAACUGGAUAGGAUGAUUGGAGGCAUCUCUGAUCAUUUAAAGGGGCUUUCGGGCCACACUUAGGGGAAAGGCCUGCGGCGCAUUAGCUAGUUGGUGGGGUAGAGGCCUACCAAGGCGAUGAUGCGUAGCCGGACUGAGAGGUCGAACGGCCACAUUGGGACUGAGACACGGCCCAAACUCCUACGGGAGGCAGCAGUAGGGAAUUUUCGGCAAUGGAGGAAACUCUGACCGAGCAAAACCGCCGCGUGAAUGAAGAAGUUCUUCGGAAUGUAAAGUUCUUUUAUUAGGGACGAAAGUCCUAACUAGGAAAUGAGUUAGGAGUGACGGUACCUAAAGAAUAAGCCCCGGCUAACUAUGUGCCAGCAGCCGC
Molecule: ribosomal RNA, 517 nt
Filed under: uncultured bacterium
Lineage: Bacteria
Description: bacterial SSU rRNA
Rfam family: Bacterial small subunit ribosomal RNA
Source: RNAcentral